AGGGUUCGAUUCUGGCUCAGAUUGAACGCUGGCGGCGUGCUUAACACAUGCAAGUCGCGCGUGAAAGGACUUCGGUCCGAGUAAAGCGGCGCACGGGUGAGUAACGCGUGGAUGAUCUACCCAUGAGUUAGGAAUAACGGCUGGAAACGGUCGCUAAUACCAAAUACGCUCCGAUUUCAACUUCGGGGGAAAGGUGGCCUCUGCUUGCAAGCUACUGCUCAUGGAUGAGUCCGCGUCCCAUUAGCUAGUUGGUGGGGUAACGGCCCACCAAGGCGACGAUGGGUAGCCGGUCUGAGAGGAUGACCGGCCACACUGGGACUGGAACACGGCCCAGACUCCUACGGGAGGCAGCAGUGGGGAAUAUUGCGCAAUGGGCGAAAGCCUGACGCAGCGACGCCGCGUGAGGGGAAUGAAGGUCCUCGGAUCGUAAACCUCUGUCAGGAGGGAAGAACCGCCACGGUGCUAAUCAGCCGUGGUCUGACGGUACCUCCAAAGGAAGCACCGGCUAACUCCGUGCCAGCCGCCGC
RNAcentral lists this ribosomal RNA (527 nucleotides) under uncultured bacterium. Its description in RNAcentral is "bacterial SSU rRNA". It matches the Rfam family "Bacterial small subunit ribosomal RNA", at positions 8 to 518 of the family's 1533-position model. The record is from RNAcentral.